This is a long non-coding RNA of Rhagoletis pomonella (apple maggot), 289 nucleotides long. RefSeq lists it as uncharacterized. The transcript has 2 exons. The record is from RefSeq and is a predicted model, not a curated record. NCBI's taxonomy places the organism in Eukaryota, Metazoa, Arthropoda, Insecta, Diptera, Tephritidae.
CUUUACCGAUAUGGACUUACGAGGUAUCAGUGGAAAGGCAGAGUAUAUGUCAGACCGCAACGGAGUACAGAGCCGCAAGUAGUCAAAAGCAAAGAAAGUGUCGAUACAUUGUCAGCGAACUAAAGCAGAUAAGAGAAAAAUCAAGAAACCACCAAACAUAACAUAGGGAUGACGAAAAAACAUCGAUACAUCGAAAAUUUUCCACACGAUGUAUAAAUAGCAGAGACCAUAACGAUUAUAAGAAAUAAAAUUAAAUAUUGCUCAAUAAUUAUUACUGAACAGAGGAAAA